RNAcentral lists this ribosomal RNA (254 nucleotides) under uncultured bacterium. RNAcentral describes it as "partial 16S ribosomal RNA". It matches the Rfam family "Bacterial small subunit ribosomal RNA", at positions 524 to 777 of the family's 1533-position model. The record is from RNAcentral.
UACGAAGGGGGCUAGCGUUGCUCGGAUUUACUGGGCGUAAAGGGCGCGUAGGCGGCCAUUCAAGUUAGGUGUGAAAGCCCUGGGCUCAACCUAGGAAUUGCACUUGAUACUGUUUGGCUUGAGUUCGGGAGAGGUGAGUGGAAUUCCCAGUGUAGAGGUGAAAUUCGUAGAUAUUGGGAAGAACACCAGUGGCGAAGGCGGCUCACUGGACCGACACUGACGCUGAGGCGCGAAAGCGUGGGGAGCAAACAGGG